GAUGAAGAACGUAGCGAAAUGCGAUAAGUAAUGUGAAUUGCAGAAUUCAGUGAAUCAUCGAAUCUUUGAACGCACAUUGCGCCCCUUGGUAUUCCGAGGGGCAUGCCUAUUCGAGCGUCAUUAUCACCCCUCAAGCCUAGCUUGGUGUUGAGGCCUGCUGUCAAGGCAGCCUCUAAAAUCAGUGGCAGUGCUGUCAGGCUCUAAGCGUAGUAAAUCUAAUCGCUAUAGACACCUGGUGGCCACUCGCCAGAACCCCCCCAUUUUUUAAUGAUUGACCUCGGAUUAGGUAGGGAUACCCGCUGAACUUAAGCAUAUCAAUAAGCGGAGGA
Molecule: unclassified non-coding RNA, 329 nt
Filed under: soil metagenome
Description: partial contains 5.8S ribosomal RNA, internal transcribed spacer 2, and large subunit ribosomal RNA
Rfam family: 5.8S ribosomal RNA (bases 1-120)
Source: RNAcentral